Molecule: RNA transcript, 2773 nt
Organism: Poeciliopsis prolifica (blackstripe livebearer)
Lineage: Eukaryota; Metazoa; Chordata; Actinopteri; Cyprinodontiformes; Poeciliidae
Gene: dtna
Gene name: dystrobrevin, alpha
Exons: 24
Source: RefSeq, a predicted model, not a curated record
CCGGAGGCUGCCUUGUUCUGCUCGGCUCAGCCAGAGCGCUGCUUCAACGAAAAUUUCCACAACAACACAAGCUUUGCAGGAGUGCGGCGCGAUAACAACGGCCACUUCGCGCCGCGAUGCAGCGCCCCACGCCAAAGAAGUCGUGAUCACACCGCAGGGCGAGACGGUUUCCCCGGGUGGACGGCAUUCACGGUGCAGGACAUGCCUCGAAAUAAAUUCUGAAUGAUUGAAGAUUGCGGGCGGAGGGGUGACAACAUGGCAGACAGAAGGCAGCUGUAUGUCGAGAUGAGGGCACAGGAUUUGGAUUCAAUAAGAUUAUCAACGUACAGAACAGCCUGCAAACUCCGAUUUGUGCAGAAGAAAUGCAACCUGCAUUUGGUUGACAUUUGGAACGUCAUUGAGGCUUUCCGAGAAAAUGGUCUGAACACCAUGGAUCUCAAUUCUGAGCUGGCUGUGGCUCGUCUGGAAGUGGUACUUUCCACCUUGUUCUUCCAACUUAACAAGCGAAUGCCAACCACUCACCAAAUCAAUGUAGAGCAGUCCGUCGGCCUGCUACUCAACUUCCUGCUGGCAGCCUACGACCCGGAAGGCCAUGGCAAAAUAUCUGUUUUUGUUGUGAAGAUGGCGCUUGCCUCAAUCUGCGGAGGGAAAAUUCUGGAUAAAUUGAGAUAUAUAUUUUCGCAGAUAUCGGAUUCUGCUGGAAUAAUGGUGCACUCGCAGUUUGACCAAUUUUUGCGAGAGGUUCUCAAAUUGCCCAUGGCUGUGUUUGAGGGACCUUCUUUUGGCUACACUGAGCAAGCUGCACGAGCAUGUUUCACUCAGCAGAAAAAGGUCUCCCUCAACACAUUCCUUGAUACGCUGAUGUCAGACCCGCCCCCUCAGUGUUUGGUGUGGCUACCUCUCAUGCAUCGGCUUGCCAACGUUGAGAAUGUGUUUCACCCGGUCGAGUGCUCCUACUGCCAUACUGAGAGUAUGAUGGGCUUCCGCUACCGCUGCCAGCAAUGUCAUAAUUACCAGCUCUGUCAGGACUGCUUCUGGAGGGGGCAUGCCAGCGGCUCCCAUAGCAACCAGCACCAAAUGAAGGAGUAUACGUCAUGGAAAUCCCCAGCUAAGAAGUUAACCCAUGUCCUCAGUAAGUCACUGAGCUGUGCCUCCAGCAGAGAGCCCCUGCACCCCAUGUUCCCCGAUACGCCAGAGAAACCUCUCAACCUAGCUCAUGUUGUGCCACCAAGACCAGUAAAUAUAACCAACGACUACUCACUGUCCCACUCCAUGCCUACAUCAGGGAACCCUUACUCCACCAAAAACCAGAAUAAUGAUGCUGGCCAAAAAAAGUCUUGGUUUGGGGUUGCUCCACAGCUGUUAAAAGGGAAAGGGUUAAAGUACAACCUCGACGUUGCUGAUAGACUUGCUGACGAGCAUGUUCUCAUUGCCCUCUAUGUGAAUCUGCUCCAAAACAGCCCCAAAUUAUGUUUGCUGGAAAGCAGUAACCAUCAAGAUGAGGAGCACAGUCUCAUUGCUCGCUACGCUGCUAGACUGGCUGCUGAUGCUGCGGUUCAACAGCAAAGGGUCCCCAUAGACCUUCCCUACUCUCUGGAUGCCAACAAACAACAGAGGCAGCUCAUUGCAGAGUUGGAGAGCAAAAACAGAGAAAUCCUGCAGGAAAUCCAGAGACUGCGUCUUCAGCAUGAGGAGGCUUCCCAGCCGCCUCCAGACAGGGGCCAACAAAACCCCACCCUCCUCGCCGAACUGCGACUUCUCAGGCAACGCAAAGAUGAGCUCGAACAAAGAAUGUCUACUCUGCAGGAGAGUCGCAGGGAGCUCAUGGUGCAGCUGGAGCAGCUAAUGAUGCUUCUCAAGCUAGAAGAAGAACAGAAACAAGCAAGUACUCAGGGUCCCGGCUCGCCACGCUCUUCUCCCAGCCACACCAUCAGCCGGCCGAUCCCCACGCCAAUCCACUCGGACUCUGCUGGCACCACUCCGACUCACACACCUCAGGACUCACUCAUGGGCGUGGGAGGGGAUGUUCAAGAGGCCUUCGCUCAGGGUCCCAGGAGAAAUUUGAGGAACGACCUUCUCAUUGCUGCUGACUCCAUAACCAAUACUAUGUCAUCACUUGUGAAGGAGCUCAAUUCAGAAGGUGGUAGUGAGACAGAGAGCCUCUUGGAUUCAGACUUUGGACAGUGUGACCUAAUGGCUGCAGCUUCCUCAGAUUUUUACUUCACUUAUAAACCAAGUAUCAGACCUACUAGAGCUGCAGAAGAAGAAACUUUUGAAAACAAUCUGGACCAGCAGCUAGAAGAGGAGCUCAAGUUGGAGGAGCUGGUAAAGCACAGGCAAGAGACAGACAAAACGUGCUUGGUGACAAUGGAGCAGUGAUUGUGAAAGUCCAGAUGACUGGUAAGCAACAAUAGUAGAAGACACUGGAAGAAGCAACACUGGGCCGAAGACAUGCAGCAUUGAAGACAUGAAGAAUUAAACCUGCGCUAAACCCAACCAUAGAAAUACUACAUUUAUGUAAAGCUAUAUUUUUUAUCCAAGCACAUAUUUAAGAAUGGCACACUUCAAUUGGCUCGGUUUGACUCUGCACAUUUAUUAUCUGUCAUAAAUGCACCGUUGGCUACCCUCAACCUAUUGUCUAUAAUUCAUCACCAAGACUCACCAUGUGAAGAAACAUAAAUGCAGUCAUCUGAAACAGAAUCUCAUAGCUCUGUGAAUAUACUGAGUUGUUAUCUUCAUGACUUGGGCAGUAAUAAAAUGUACAAUUAUCAUU